AUGCGCUACGAGGCCAUGCUCCAACGCGACGCGGAGGCGCUCCGGCUCGAGGAGGAGGAGGAGGAGCGCGCGUGGCUUGCCGCAAUGCCGCCGCCCCAGCAGACGCUGGAGGAGGUUGCCCUGGCAGCGUACCAGGCGGCGUUCAGGUGGGUUGGCCCUGCUCCGGUCUUCAUCGACCUCACCGACGGCGGGGCGUCGACGACAAGGGCAAGAGCAAGGCCGACGACGUCUAGAGCAGCGUGCGGGGCGGCAGCAGGCGGUCGCAAACUUUUUUUAAUGUUCUAUUUAAUGUUUGUUAGAUUUAGGUGGACUUUGGCCGGCAUUUGA
RNAcentral lists this ribosomal RNA (327 nucleotides) under Triticum aestivum (bread wheat). RNAcentral describes it as "partial small subunit ribosomal RNA". Lineage: Eukaryota; Viridiplantae; Streptophyta; Magnoliopsida; Poales; Poaceae. The record is from RNAcentral.